CUAGAUGGGGAUGGUAGGACCAGAGGGGCCUGCUGCCCUGUGGGGCUCUCUGGGCCUGGUGCCAUGCUUCUCUGUUCUCUCCCCAG
This 86-nucleotide microRNA precursor is filed under the name Chlorocebus sabaeus (green monkey). RNAcentral's name for it is "miRNA (ENSCSAG00000026201.1)". The record is from RNAcentral. Lineage: Eukaryota; Metazoa; Chordata; Mammalia; Primates; Cercopithecidae.